CAAUUUUGCACAAUAUACAUUGUGGAUUUUAAUAUAAUGACGAUUUAACAGUACACAUGUUUGGAAGAUAGACGCGAAGUUGUCACUUAUCGUCCAGUGGCUAAUAUUUCAUGAAUGUUCAGGACUAUAGGCAAAACGCAAUUAUACGCUAAAAUAUUCGUUCCAUUGCUGCGGUGUAUCAUAUAUACACACUUAGGGGAGGAUGAAUAUUACCAGAGGAGAGGCGAUGAUUCAAAAGUUAUUAAACGAGCACCAGCAUAUGGCAAAGUAUGAAGAUAAUCUUUUUUGUUCAUUUUCAUUUUAUUAUUUUGAGCGUUGAAAAUUUUGAAUCAAGGACGUAUUUGUGUUUUAUUUUUUUCUUAUUUUUCUGUAAGUGAAGAAGACAAUGUAUUUGCUUUGACAUUUUCUGAGGUUAAACAGUGCAACAUUGUAAUAUUGAAGAGUAGGGGAGGGGUCGGUUUUUAGUCUUUUAGGGACAUUUUAUUCAUCGGACUACUAGAUGUAUUUAGGAUAUUUUGUAGUGUUACCUCCUCCGACCUGGUGGUAUCAUAUUUUAACCUAUCGUACGUCCCGAAAUUCUAAAUAUAUCUCAAGAAAAGUCCAAUUUAAUAAGUGUCGUUGCAUGUAGGAUAAUUGUCCGAAAUUCCACGACUAUUAUCUAAAUAUGUCAAAAUAAAGGAUCCCUAAAACGAGUCUUACGUAUGAUUCGUCAAGCAUACGUACCUUUCGUCAAUUUGUAAGAAAGCUCUAAUAA
Molecule: long non-coding RNA, 754 nt
Filed under: Mytilus galloprovincialis (Mediterranean mussel)
Lineage: Eukaryota; Metazoa; Mollusca; Bivalvia; Mytilida; Mytilidae
Source: RNAcentral